AACCUUAUAGUCAAUAAAAUGAUAUAAAAUUGCAAAUUUUAAGUAAUAAAUAUAAAUUAUUAAGGUUU
RNAcentral lists this transfer RNA (68 nucleotides) under Phocoderma betis. RNAcentral describes it as "tRNA-Cys". The record is from RNAcentral. Lineage: Eukaryota; Metazoa; Arthropoda; Insecta; Lepidoptera; Limacodidae.